CUACGGGGCGCACCAGUGAGGAAUAUUGCACAAUGGAGGAAACUCUGAUGCAGCAACGCCGCGUGGAGGAUGACGCAUUUCGGUGUGUAAACUCCUUUUAUAUGUCAAGAAAAUGACGGUAGCAUAUGAAUAAGCUCCGGCUAACUCCGUGCCAGCAGCCGCGGUAAUACGGAGGGAGCAAGCGUUACUCGGAAUCACUGGGCGUAAAGGACGCGUAGGCGGGAUAGAAAGUCAGGUGUGAAAUCCUAUGGCUCAACCAUAGAACUGCACUUGAAACUUCUAACCUAGAGUAUGGGAGGGGAAGAUGGAAUUAGUGGUGUAGGGGUAAAAUCCGUAGAUAUCACUAGGAAUACCAAAAGCGAAGGCGAUCUUCUGGAACAAUACUGACGCUAAGGCGUGAAAGCGUGGGGAGCAAACAGGAUUAGAUACCCCUGUAGUC
RNAcentral lists this ribosomal RNA (439 nucleotides) under uncultured bacterium. RNAcentral describes it as "partial 16S ribosomal RNA". It matches the Rfam family "Bacterial small subunit ribosomal RNA", at positions 339 to 795 of the family's 1533-position model. The record is from RNAcentral.